GACGAACGCUGGCGGCGUGCUUAACACAUGCAAGUCGAACGGUGAAGCGCCUUCCUUUUUGGUGGGUGUGGAUGAGUGGCGAACGGGUGAGUAACACGUGAGUAACCUGCCCCCUUCUUCUGGAUAACCGCAUGAAAGUGUGGCUAAUACGGGAUAUUCUGGGUCUGUCGCAUGAUGGGUCUGGGAAAGAUAUUGUUUCGGUGGGGGAUGGGCUCGCGGCCUAUCAGCUUGUUGGUGGGGUGAUGGCCUACCAAGGCGGUGACGGGUAGCCGGCCUGAGAGGGUGGACGGUCACACUGGGACUGAGAGACGGACCAGACUCCUACGGGAGGCAGCAGUGGGGAAUAUUGCACAAUGGGCGCAAGCCUGAUGCAGCGACGCCGCGUGAGGGAUGGAGGCCUUCGGGUUGUGAACCUCUUUCGCCAGUGAAGCAGGCCUGCCUCGUUUGUGGGUGGGUUGACGGUAGCUGGAGAAGAAGCGCCGGCUAACUACGUG
RNAcentral lists this ribosomal RNA (494 nucleotides) under uncultured bacterium. RNAcentral describes it as "partial 16S ribosomal RNA". It matches the Rfam family "Bacterial small subunit ribosomal RNA", at positions 28 to 507 of the family's 1533-position model. The record is from RNAcentral.